UAAAAGAUAAAUGGUGGCUUAUGUCUGUA
This 29-nucleotide non-coding RNA is filed under the name Rattus norvegicus (Norway rat). Lineage: Eukaryota; Metazoa; Chordata; Mammalia; Rodentia; Muridae. The record is from RNAcentral.